This is a non-coding RNA of Cyprinus carpio (common carp), 368 nucleotides long. NCBI's taxonomy places the organism in Eukaryota, Metazoa, Chordata, Actinopteri, Cypriniformes, Cyprinidae. The record is from the annotation of a RefSeq genome assembly.
GAAGAGGAGAGACAAUGUUCUCCAUAAAGCUCUUUGUGCUGUUGGCAGCUGUACACAGUGUUUAUUGUCAGGUUGUGCUCACACAGUCUGAACAGUCAGUAGUUGUGUCUCCAGGUGCUUCCUACAAACUGACCUGUGCCUGCAGUGGAUUCACUCUUAGUGACUAUAGGAUGCACUGGAUCCGUCAGGCACCUGGAAAAGGACUGGAAUGGAUCUUACACUAUUAUACAGACUCUGACAAAGGCUCAGCUCAGUCAGUGCAGGGCAGAUUCACAGCAUCUAAGGACAGCUCUAAUUUCUAUCUGCACAUGAGUCAGUUAAAAACUGAAGACACUGCAGUGUAUUACUGUGCAAGAGAGACACAGUGA